UACGGGGGGGGGCAAGCGUUGUUCGGAAUUACUGGGCGUAAAGGGCUCGUAGGCGGCCAACUAAGUCGGAUGUGAAAUCCCCAGGCUUAACCUGGGAACUGCAUCCGAUACUGGAUGGCUUGAAUUCGGGAGAGGGAUGCAGAAUUCCAGGUGUAGCGGUGAAAUGCGUAGAUAUCUGGAGGAAUACCGGUGGCGAAGGCGGCAUCCUGGACCGACAUUGACGCUGAGGAGCGAAAGCUAGGGGAGCAAACAGG
This 254-nucleotide ribosomal RNA is filed under the name uncultured bacterium. RNAcentral describes it as "partial 16S ribosomal RNA". It matches the Rfam family "Bacterial small subunit ribosomal RNA", at positions 524 to 776 of the family's 1533-position model. The record is from RNAcentral.